GUACAUAUUUGAUCACUGGUUCAGCAUGAUGUUGCAGAAACAAGGGAAACUCUAUCUGCAAAAGUGAGUUUGGCUACGGGCAGUGGCUCACCCCUGUAUUGCCAAUA
RNAcentral lists this small nucleolar RNA (107 nucleotides) under Prolemur simus (greater bamboo lemur). The record is from RNAcentral. Lineage: Eukaryota; Metazoa; Chordata; Mammalia; Primates; Lemuridae.